GACGAACGCUGGCGGCGUGCCUAAUACAUGCAAGUAGGACGCACAGUUUAUACCGUAGCUUGCUACACCAUAGACUGUGAGUUGCGAACGAGUGAGUAACGCGUAGGUAACCUGCCUAUUAGAGGGGGAUAACUAUUGGAAACGAUAGCUAAUACCGCAUAACAGUAUGUAACACAUGUUAGAUGCUUGAAAGAUGCAAUUGCAUCGCUAGUAGAUGGACCUGCGUUGUAUUAGCUAGUAGGUAGGGUAAAGGCCUACCUAGGCAACGAUACAUAGCCGACCUGAGAGGGUGAUCGGCCACACUGGGACUGAGACACGGCCCAGACUCCUACGGGAGGCAGCAGUAGGGAAUCUUCGGCAAUGGGGGGAACCCUGACCGAGCAACGCCGCGUGAGUGAAGAAGGUUUUCGGAUCGUAAAGCUCUGUUGUUAAGGAAGAACGAGUGUGAGAAUGGAAAGUUCAUACUGUGACGGUACUUAACCAGAAAGGGACGGCUAACUACGUGCCAGCAGCCGCGGUAAUACGUAGGUCCCGAGCGUUGUCCGGAUUUAUUGGGCGUAAAGCGAGCGCAGGCGGUUAGAAAAGUCUGAAGUGAAAGGCAGUGGCUCAACCAUUGUAGGCUUUGGAAACUGUUUAACUUGAGUGCAGAAGGGGAGAGUGGAAUUCCAUGUGUAGCGGUGAAAUGCGUAGAUAUAUGGAGGAACACCGGUGGCGAAAGCGGCUCUCUGGUCUGUAACUGACGCUGAGGCUCGAAAGCGUGGGGAGCGAACAGG
Molecule: ribosomal RNA, 773 nt
Filed under: Streptococcus anginosus
Lineage: Bacteria; Bacillati; Bacillota; Bacilli; Lactobacillales; Streptococcaceae
Description: bacterial SSU rRNA
Rfam family: Bacterial small subunit ribosomal RNA
Source: RNAcentral